Molecule: ribosomal RNA, 497 nt
Filed under: uncultured bacterium
Lineage: Bacteria
Description: partial 16S ribosomal RNA
Rfam family: Bacterial small subunit ribosomal RNA
Source: RNAcentral
GACGAACGCUGGCGGCGUGCCUAAUACAUGCAAGUUGAGCGCUGAAGGUUGGUACUUGUACCGACUGGAUGAGCAGCGAACGGGUGAGUAACGCGUGGGGAAUCUGCCUUUGAGCGGGGGACAACAUUUGGAAACGAAUGCUAAUACCGCAUAAAAACUUUAAACACAAGUUUUAAGUUUGAAAGAUGCAAUUGCAUCACUCAAAGAUGAUCCCGCGUUGUAUUAGCUAGUUGGUGAGGUAAAGGCUCACCAAGGCGAUGAUACAUAGCCGACCUGAGAGGGUGGUCGGCCACAUUGGGACUGGGACACGGCCCAAACUCCUACGGGAGGCAGCAGUAGGGAAUCUUCGGCAAUGGACGAAAGUCUGACCGAGCGACGCCGCGUGAGUGAAGGAGGUUUUCGGAUCGUAAAACUCUGUUGGUAGAGAAGAACGUUGGUGAGAGUGGAAAGCUCAUCAAGUGACGGUAACUACCCAGAAAGGGACGGCUAACUACGUG